This 496-nucleotide long non-coding RNA is filed under the name Heterocephalus glaber (naked mole-rat). Its description in RNAcentral is "lncRNA (ENSHGLG00000045673.1)". The record is from RNAcentral. Lineage: Eukaryota; Metazoa; Chordata; Mammalia; Rodentia; Bathyergidae.
UUCUUUCAACCGCUCUUCUUUUCCUCCUUCGGCUCCUCUCGCGCUCUUUCUUCGGCGUCUUGGCUCAGCGCGCUGCCGCACUCACAGAAGGAUUAGCCCUGGUUUCCUCUUCUCAAGACUCGCCAUCGAACAGAAUUGAAUGCACACAUGGAUGAUCCAUUCAACUUGUUGACAUCUCAGAACAGUUGUGGCCUCAGAGAAGCCAUUUCUAACACACCCCACCCUCUGGAUCACUGGCCAAUGUGAGAAGGGGCAUGUCAGAAGAAAAUGUCAAGUUACUCUCAGCUUGCCAUGACCAAAAAGACAAGUGAAACUAUGACAGUGUCCCUCCACCACACAGUUUACACCCUUUCCUCAUCCUCAUGCAUCUGAUCUUAUCUCCUGCCCAAUGUGACUCUUGGCUCUUUCAGAAGAAUGGCAACUUCAAUCAGAUAAAGAGAAGUAGGACUAUCUCCAGGCUUGCAGUGGAAGAGCCUAGAGCUGACUUCAAAUAGAG